RNAcentral lists this long non-coding RNA (593 nucleotides) under Ananas comosus (pineapple). Its description in RNAcentral is "long non-coding RNA (ACOM_LNC030647)". The record is from RNAcentral. Lineage: Eukaryota; Viridiplantae; Streptophyta; Magnoliopsida; Poales; Bromeliaceae.
AAUUCCAUCAAUACUCUACCAAUACAUCUCAAUUUAGUAAGAAGUUAAAUUGCUCACCUUGCACGGCUCUAACUCGGGUUAAAGCACAUCAAAAUCAGUCCAUAAGAGACACUAAACUCAUCUCAAAGGAGUCCAAUUCCCUGCUGUGGACUGCAUUAAAACUGUUUCAAAGCUACAACCAAUACAACUAUUAUAGCAUCAGGAUAAGGAAAGGUAGUUAGCUAAUCACCUUGUACAGCUUCAACUCAGGUUCGACUGAGUUGGGAGUGAAGAAUCACAACAAAAACACCCUUUCUUCAGCUGCUACAAGCAUCCCCAACUCUGCUGGCAGCAAAAACAAAGAACAAGCUCAACUUCCCUACUACAACUAUCAAUACCUCAAACUAGAGAGGAAAGUUAGAUUACUAACCUCACUAAGCUUUAACUCAGUUCCCAACUAAGUUAGAACAGAGAAACACCUCUUCUAUAGCUGUUUAGUUCAUCCCAAAACCAGCUGAUAACAAAAAACCAACAACCAACUCAACUUCACUAGUAUAGCACUAAUCUAGAGAGAAGUUGAAUUAUUUACCUUACCCAGUCUCAACUCAGCUUCU